GAUCUUGUUUAGAUACCAAAAUAUUAUCUUUAUGUUUUUAGAAGACUUUCAGCUUACCAUUAAUUUUAAUCCAGAAGUUGGCAGUGGACAAGCAAUCAAAAUCCAAGAUCUCCAUUUCUCACUGAAGCCCUUAACAGAAUGAUACCCCAAAAUGACCUAUGUUGAUGAUCUCCCUUCCACAUCCUAGAGUUUACAACUUCAUUUGGAAAGUCUUAGAACACCUUGAUAAAAUCAACCUGGAUGACAUUUGUAGUCCUCGGAACUUUGUUGGAUCAUAAUUUUUUUUUUUUCACUUCAUACCGGAGAGGAAGCUUUGACUGCCUAACAGAAAGGAACCCCCAGUAGAAUUUAAAAACUGUCCUCAAACUUGAAAAUUUUUGAUACAGGUUGAUGAUCUUCCUUCCACAUCCAAAUAAUUGAUCAUAAGAAAUCUCUUGGUAAAUGAAACUCUUCUUCUUUUGCUUGUUAACUUGAAGGUGGAAUCAGAAAACAGAAUCUUCAACACUGCUUUAAGUGUUCAUCUUGUUAUUGCAUCUUUGCCUUCACAUAGUGUCCACCUUCUGCCCUUUCAAAUGACACUGCCUGCACUCUCUUUGGUCCACACCCAAGCUGCUCAAUAGAAAGACCAACCACCUGUUCUCCAUGCCAUCCAAAAAAUGAAGCUCGGAGAAAAUGGCAUCCUUUUGAGCUGCAAUAUUACCAUGUAUUACACAUGGAUUAAUUAAAAUUCUUUUUAUUUUUCAUUUGUCUUAUAGACUAAUUUAUAAUAGCAUUUGAUCUAAUCCUCUCUUCAAGACUAUAGGAUGAAUUCGAUUUGCUGUUCCUCUCUCCUCAAAAUCCUCUCUUCAAGAUUACAAAUACAUAUAUAUGUUAUUAUUAUUAUUAUUUUGAACAA
Molecule: non-coding RNA, 895 nt
Organism: Cucurbita pepo subsp. pepo (vegetable marrow)
Lineage: Eukaryota; Viridiplantae; Streptophyta; Magnoliopsida; Cucurbitales; Cucurbitaceae
Source: RefSeq, a predicted model, not a curated record